RNAcentral lists this transfer RNA (74 nucleotides) under Psychrobacter piechaudii. It matches the Rfam family "tRNA". Rfam says of the family: Transfer RNA (tRNA) molecules are approximately 80 nucleotides in length. The record is from Rfam by way of RNAcentral. Lineage: Bacteria; Pseudomonadati; Pseudomonadota; Gammaproteobacteria; Moraxellales; Moraxellaceae.
AGGCGUAUAGCUCAGUUGGUUAGAGCGCUACCUUGACAUGGUAGAGGUCGCUAGUUCGAAUCUAGUUACGCCUA